This 639-nucleotide ribosomal RNA is filed under the name uncultured Malassezia. Its description in RNAcentral is "eukaryotic LSU rRNA". The stretch from base 157 to 310 matches the Rfam family "5.8S ribosomal RNA". Lineage: Eukaryota; Fungi; Basidiomycota; Malasseziomycetes; Malasseziales; Malasseziaceae. The record is from RNAcentral.
CCCACUAUACAUCCACAAACCCGUGUGCACUGUCUUGGAGAAAGGCUUCAAGAAGUUUUUUGUGGCCUCUCUUGGGGUCUUUCUUCGCUACAAACUCGAAUGGUUAGUAUGAACGUGGAACUUGGUUGGACCGUCACUGGCCAACAAACUAUACACAACUUUCGACAACGGAUCUCUUGGUUCUCCCAUCGAUGAAGAACGCAGCGAAACGCGAUUGGUAAUGUGAAUUGCAGAAUUCCGUGAAUCAUCGAAUCUUUGAACGCACCUUGCGCUCUAUGGCAAUCCGUAGAGCAUGCCUGUUUGAGUGCCAUGAAAUCUCCCACCCCAAGCGGUUUUUAAAUGAAACGGCUUGGCGGAUGGGGUCUGGAUGGGUGCCUCUGCCUGCGCUACCUAGCACAGGCUCGCCCGAAAUGCAUGAGCGCCUUGAGACACUUUGCAUCCGCCUCUCUGUUUGGGAGGAGGCGGCCAAGCAGUGUUUUUCUCCUGGCAUGGCAUGAUACGUCAUUUGCUAUGUCGCCUAAAGGAGGAAUGUUUGGUUGUGUCUACGUGUGCUUCGAACUUGCCUCUGUGGCACAUCCCAAUUUCACUUCUGGUCUCAAAUCAGGUAGGAUCACCCGCUGAACUUAAGCAUAUCAAUAA